This 501-nucleotide ribosomal RNA is filed under the name uncultured bacterium. Its description in RNAcentral is "bacterial SSU rRNA". It matches the Rfam family "Bacterial small subunit ribosomal RNA", at positions 355 to 868 of the family's 1533-position model. The record is from RNAcentral.
UGGGGAAUCUUGGACAAUGGGGGCAACCCUGAUCCAGCCAUGCCGCGUGAGUGAUGAAGGCCUUAGGGUCGUAAAGCUCUUUCGCCUGUGAAGAUAAUGACGGUAGCAGGUAAAGAAACCCCGGCUAACUCCGUGCCAGCAGCCGCGGUAAUACGGAGGGGGUUAGCGUUGUUCGGAAUUACUGGGCGUAAAGCGCACGUAGGCGGACCAGAAAGUUGGGGGGUGAAAUCCCGGGGGCUCAACCCCGGAACUGCCUCCAAAACUAUUGGUCUAGAGUUCGAGAGAGGUGAGUGGAAUUCCAAGUGUAGAGGUGAAAUUCGUAGAUAUUUGGAGGAACACCAGUGGCGAAGGCGGCUCACUGGCUCGAUACUGACGCUGAGGUGCGAAAGUGUGGGGAGCAAAACAGGAUUAGAUACCCUGGUAGUCCCACACCGUAAAACGAUGAAUGCCCAGUCGUCGGGUAGCAUGCUAUUCGGUGACACACCUAACGGAUUAAGCAUU